RNAcentral lists this long non-coding RNA (1676 nucleotides) under Cervus hanglu yarkandensis (Yarkand deer). RNAcentral describes it as "lncRNA (ENSCHYG00000018345.1)". The record is from RNAcentral. Lineage: Eukaryota; Metazoa; Chordata; Mammalia; Artiodactyla; Cervidae.
GUCAGGAGGUACCAUAUUCCAGGUAUUUGGUUGGUUCUGGGCCAAGAACUAGAGUGGGGAGAUAGUUUACCAUCCAUCAUGCCAAGUAGAAGAAAUUUGCACUAGUGUAUUUGUGAUUUGUGAGGGACGCAAAUAACUGUCAAAUUAAAAUAUGAGAAAACACAAGCCUUUGGCAGCAAUUGACUGAAAUAACAGGUGCUAGCUUUCCUAAUGUGAGCCAAUUCAUUGAAUUGUCUUUCUUUGCUGCAAAAACGGAUCCAGAAAAUAUCUGAUGAUUACAUGUUUCAGGUUGGUCAUCCUGCUGGCCUAAUAAGGAGAAUGUUUGCCAGGAGUAAAACAGUCAGUUGUAUUUUUGAGCUGGUAGAUUUCUUUAGGAUAGACUUCAAAUAAAUUAGUUACAUGUGCACUACUGAAACCUCUUUCAACCUCUCUUGCAUUCCAAAUACAAGUUCUGAAUUAAUGUGUAUUAAGAAGUAGGACAAAACCAAGAAUACCAGUUACUGCAAAACUCAUUUAGGCACACUUAAUAGUCCACUCUAAGCAUUUCUUCUAAGUCUCUCACAUUAAUUACUAAAGCCUGUUUACAGUACUAAAAUUCUAUCAUUCAAGCAUCAAUGAUUAUAUUUCAGGAAAAGAAAAUCACUCAUUUCAGCAAUAGCAUUACUGCUAUAUUCUAAAAAAAAGAAAAAAGAAAAAAAAAAGAAUCUAAAUUAAAAAAAAAAAAAAAAACAGCAUCCUUAAUAGGAUACAUGGAGAAAAAACAUUUUAGGGAAAAAAAAAAAAAUGUGCUUUAUUUGCACAGCAGGAAUUAUAAAAUGUAAACACCAUAUUGGCCCACACCACAAAAUCCAUGAGAAAGGUUCAAAUUUGAACACCAUGUGUGCAUUAUUUUCAAAUAUUGAGCAUGGCUUGCUUCCCUGACUCUAACUCAAAAAAUGUUAAGUGAUAUCCCAACUGCUUUUAAAAUGUUUACAGAAAUCAUUAAACGAAUAUGAAUAGUAGUUGAGGAAUGAUGCAAAGUGAUGGUAAUACUAUAUGCAAGUGAAUGUAAAAAAAGAAUGUACAGAUAACCGGCUGAGAUUUGCAAUUGCAUGGAAAGUCUUCUUUUGUGGGCCUUAUCUGAACUCUUAACUGAUACCACAAAGAAAAAAUCUAGUAGCACAAGUUCAUUGACACCUGGAGGGUCAGGCCUACAAAGCUUACCUUCAAAGUGCAAAUUUUAACAAUGGAAUGUUUUUAGCAGGGACAGAAAGACAAUCAUCUGUCUUUUUCUUGAUAAAGUUAAAUGUUCAGAAAGUAUUUUCUCCUGGUCAAACUUAUUUCAGUUUCUUGGUAGAACAAAAAAAUAUUUAGCCAAAAAUAUCACUGACUCUUUCACAUACACAGAACUAUUCUUAGGGGUGUGUGGGAAAGAAAAAGGCCUUACCUAUGGAUCACCUAAUGCAACUUUUACUUAGAACUUAAGCUUUUUGAAUCAACUACAUUAAAUACCGACAUGUACCUCCCUCAGCCCCUCCCUCUCCACCCGCCUAUCCCUAACACCCCCAAUGAACCAGGUAUUCUAAUGUCUUCCUGUUUUCUAAGCCUCAUGACAAGGCUGUUGAGUACCACCUCCAAUGGAACAAAAUGAACACCUAAGGUGCAUUUUUUAUAGCACCUGUUUCUUCUCCACAACU